GACGAACGCUGGCGGCGUGCUUAACACAUGCAAGUCGAACGGAAAGGCCCUGCUUUUGUGGGGUGCACGAGUGGCGAAGGGGGGAGUAACACGUGAGUAACCUGCACUUGACUUUGGGGUAACUUCAGGAAACUGGGGCUAAUACCGGAUAGGAGCUCCUGCUGCAUGGUGGGGGAUGGAAAGUUUCGGCGGUUGGGUAUGGACUCGCGGCUUAUCAGCUUGUUGGUGGGGUAGUGGCUUACCAAGGCUUUGACGGGUAGCCGGCCUGAGAGGGUGACCGGCCACAUUGGGCCUGAGCUACGGCCCAGACUCCUACGUGAGGCAGCAGUGGGGAAUAUUGCACAAUGGGCGGAAGCGUGAUGCAGCAACGCCGCGUGCGGGAUGACCGCCUUCGGGUUGUAAACCGCUUUCGCCUGUGACGAAGCGUGAGUGACGGUAAUGGGUAAAGAAGCACCGGCUAACUACGUG
Molecule: ribosomal RNA, 468 nt
Filed under: uncultured bacterium
Lineage: Bacteria
Description: partial 16S ribosomal RNA
Rfam family: Bacterial small subunit ribosomal RNA
Source: RNAcentral